Molecule: long non-coding RNA, 241 nt
Filed under: Lathyrus oleraceus (garden pea)
Lineage: Eukaryota; Viridiplantae; Streptophyta; Magnoliopsida; Fabales; Fabaceae
Description: Pisum sativum (pea) long non-coding RNA (PSAT_LNC034922)
Source: RNAcentral
GAGGGAUAAGGGAUAUCAACAUAGCCAAAAAAAAAAAUUUAAGAUAUAUAAACCAGGAUAAUAAUACAAAAAGGGAAGGGGGAUUCCAAAAAAUAAAAAAGAGGUCGGACAACCUACCUGAGUUUUUUUGCAACAAGUUUUCAAAAGCUCACACCAUCAUCUUUUAACCAGAUUCAUCAAAAAGGUCUGGUCAUUAACAUACCAACAGAGAGAAAAAAACAGGGAUAGCAACACAAAAUCC